GUUUUUUUGUAUUAAAUAUAAAGUCUAACCUGCCCAUUGAAUAAAUUUUAAAAGGCUGCGGUAUAUUGACCGUACAAAGGUAGCAUAGUCAUUAGUUUUUUAAUUGAAAACUUGUAUGAAUGGUUGAAUGAAAAAUUAACUUUUUUUUGUAAAAAUAAUGAAUUUUACUUUUUAGUUAAAAGGCUAAAAUAAGUUUAAAAGACGAGAAGACCCUAUAGAGUUUAAUAAUUAAUUAUUAUUUUUAAGAAGGAUUAUUUUUUGUAUUAUUAAUAAAAUUAUUUUAUUGGGGUGAUAAUAAAAUUUAUUUAACUUUUAUUAAUUUUUUACAUUAAUAUAUGAUUAUUUGAUCCAAUAAUAUUGAUUAAAAAUUUAAGUUACCUUAGGGAUAACAGCGUAAUUUUUUUUUAAGUUCUUAUUAAUAAAAGAUUUUGCGACCUCGAUGUUGGAUUAAAAUUAAAUUUUAGGUGCAGCAGCUUAAAUUUCAAGUCUGUUCGACUUUUAAAUUCUU
This 508-nucleotide ribosomal RNA is filed under the name Bradysia fungicola. Its description in RNAcentral is "partial small subunit ribosomal RNA". Lineage: Eukaryota; Metazoa; Arthropoda; Insecta; Diptera; Sciaridae. The record is from RNAcentral.